This 244-nucleotide ribosomal RNA is filed under the name Ploettnerulaceae sp. RNAcentral's name for it is "partial large subunit ribosomal RNA". It matches the Rfam family "Eukaryotic large subunit ribosomal RNA", at positions 104 to 344 of the family's 3401-position model. Lineage: Eukaryota; Fungi; Ascomycota; Leotiomycetes; Helotiales; Ploettnerulaceae. The record is from RNAcentral.
ACAGCUCAAAUUUGAAAGCUGGCUCUUUUAGGGUCCGCGUUGUAAUUUGUAGAAGAUGCUUCGGGUGUGGCCCCGGUCUAAGUUCCUUGGAACAGGACGUCAUAGAGGGUGAGAAUCCCGUAUGUGACUGGGUGCUUUCGCUCAUGUGAAGCUCUUUCGACGAGUCGAGUUGUUUGGGAAUGCAGCUCAAAAUGGGUGGUAAAUUCCAUCUAAAGCUAAAUAUUGGCGAGAGACCGAUAGCGAA